GGAGCUCAGUCAACUUCCUCUUGUGUUCUUGCUGAUUUCAAUCAUUCACUCUGAAACUGAAGAAAUACCAAAAGCCAAAGUGACCAUUAAACCUGCUCAACAUGUAUUCAGAGGAGACACAGUCACUCUCAGAUGUGACAUAUUUGGUGAAGGAGUCACUAGCUGGAGCUACAACUGGUAUAAAAACGG
Molecule: long non-coding RNA, 189 nt
Organism: Labeo rohita (rohu)
Lineage: Eukaryota; Metazoa; Chordata; Actinopteri; Cypriniformes; Cyprinidae
Exons: 3
Source: RefSeq, a predicted model, not a curated record